GCGGGUGUAGGACAAUGGUAGUCCAGAAGCUUCCCAAGCUUCAUACGAGGGUUCGAUUCCCUCCACCCGCU
RNAcentral lists this transfer RNA (71 nucleotides) under Candidatus Omnitrophota bacterium. RNAcentral describes it as "tRNA-Gly". It matches the Rfam family "tRNA". From Rfam's summary of the family: Transfer RNA (tRNA) molecules are approximately 80 nucleotides in length. Their secondary structure includes four short double-helical elements and three loops (D, anti-codon, and T loops). Further hydrogen bonds mediate the characteristic L-shaped molecular structure. tRNAs have two regions of fundamental functional importance: the anti-codon, which is responsible for specific mRNA codon recognition, and the 3' end, to which the tRNAs corresponding amino acid is attached (by aminoacyl-tRNA synthetases). tRNAs cope with the degeneracy of the genetic code in two manners: having more than one tRNA (with a specific anti-codon) for a particular amino acid; and 'wobble' base-pairing, i.e. permitting non-standard base-pairing at the 3rd anti-codon position. Lineage: Bacteria; Pseudomonadati; Candidatus Omnitrophota. The record is from RNAcentral.